UAGGGAAUUUUGCGCAAUGGGCGAAAGCCUGACGCAGCAGCACCGCGUGAGCGACGAAGCCCUUUGGGGUGUAAAGCUCUGUCAGUGGGGACGAAUCAAUGACGGUACCCACAGAGGAAGCAUCGGCUAACUACGUGCCAGCAGCCGCGGUAAGACGUAGGAUGCAAGCGUUGUCCGGAUUUAUUGGGCGUAAAGCGUUCGUAGGCGGCAUACCAAGUCUGGUGUUAAAGCCCGGGGCUCAACUCCGGUUCGGCACUGGAUACUGGUAAGCUAGAGUGUAGUAGAGGCAAGGGGAAUUCCCAGUGUAGCGGUGAAAUGCGUAGAUAUUGGGAGGAACACCAGUGGCGUAAGCGCCUUGCUGGGCUAUAACUGACGCUGAGGAACGAAAGCCGGGGGAGCAAAUGG
RNAcentral lists this ribosomal RNA (405 nucleotides) under uncultured bacterium. RNAcentral describes it as "bacterial SSU rRNA". It matches the Rfam family "Bacterial small subunit ribosomal RNA", at positions 355 to 775 of the family's 1533-position model. The record is from RNAcentral.